Molecule: ribosomal RNA, 207 nt
Filed under: uncultured Butyrivibrio sp.
Lineage: Bacteria; Bacillati; Bacillota; Clostridia; Lachnospirales; Lachnospiraceae
Description: partial 16S ribosomal RNA
Rfam family: Bacterial small subunit ribosomal RNA
Source: RNAcentral
UCCCUUAUGAUUUGGGCCACACACGUGCUACAAAUGGCUGUGGAUACAAAGGGAAGCGAACCCUGGUGAAGCGUUGGAGCAAAUCCUCAUAAAUACACACAGUUCUCCAGUUCGGAUUGUAGUCUGCAACUCGCCUACAUGAAGUUGGAAUCGCUAGUAAUCGCGGAUCAGAAUGUACGGUGAGGCGUUCCCGNUNUAUGUNUACAA